This 450-nucleotide ribosomal RNA is filed under the name uncultured bacterium. Its description in RNAcentral is "bacterial SSU rRNA". It matches the Rfam family "Bacterial small subunit ribosomal RNA", at positions 354 to 796 of the family's 1533-position model. The record is from RNAcentral.
GUGGGGAAUAUUGGACAAUGGGCGAAAGCCUGAUCCAGCCAUGCCGCGUGUGUGAAGAAGGUCUUCGGAUUGUAAAGCACUUUAAGUUGGGAGGAAGGGCAGUAAGUUAAUACCUUGCUGUUUUGACGUUACCGACAGAAUAAGCACCGGCUAACUUCGUGCCAGCAGCCGCGGUAAUACGAAGGGUGCAAGCGUUAAUCGGAAUUACUGGGCGUAAAGCGCGCGUAGGUGGUUUUGUAAGUUGGAGGUGAAAUCCCCGGGCUCAACCUGGGAACUGCCUCCAAAACUGCAUGACUAGAGUACGGUAGAGGGUAGUGGAAUUUCCUGUGUAGCGGUGAAAUGCGUAGAUAUAGGAAGGAACACCAGUGGCGAAGGCGACUACCUGGACUGAUACUGACACUGAGGUACGAAAGCGUGGGGAGCAAACAGGAUUAGAUACCCGUGUAGUCC